UUCCCGCCAAAUUAGAAAGAAGCAAUUUCCGCCGUCCGAUCUUUGUCGUAAAAUCCGACGGCCAUCGUUGCGCCAGCCUUUUACGCGAAAUCUCAACAGUACAGACUACAGAGUACAGCACCACGGAAUCCACGCCGCUCGCCUGCAGGAAGAAAUUUAAAACCCCAACACCCCCGGCGCACGGCGGCGCGUGAGCUGAGAUCGGAGACGUCGGCCGAACUCCUCCGCCUCGGGUUCUGUUCGGCGGCCGGAAUGUUGUCGUCGCCGUGCGAAGUUCAGGCAUAGCAAAACGAAGAUGGUGAAUUAAGUACCUCGUUGUGCGGUGGAGGAUUGAAGGCGAGCAGCCAAGAGAGGUCGGUUACUUAUAUUUGAAAUUGUGCUUCUCCCAGUAAUGUAAGUGAAACGACCAAUAAGCUCCAACUCUACGAUUAUAUAAGCUUCGCAUGCUUAGGUUGGAUUGUUUGAGAAGGCCAGUUUGUUUUGCUAUUCUUGCGGAAUAAUAAACGAUUCAAAAGUCCAUCACCUUAUUGAUUUUUUUUUUAAUUAUUAUCCCCCCUUCUUAAAGACAACUAAAUUGUUAUUCGACGUUUCGCAUUUGAAACUUCUUCUGAUGGAAAUGAGCAUUUUGAAAGUGCC
Erythranthe guttata (spotted monkey flower) is the source of this 636-nucleotide non-coding RNA. Lineage: Eukaryota; Viridiplantae; Streptophyta; Magnoliopsida; Lamiales; Phrymaceae. The record is from RefSeq and is a predicted model, not a curated record.